UCAUUAUCAUUGUAAGGGACUUAGCAACACCUGCUGCCUUUCUUUCACCCUCUCAGGCUGUACUGGGCCACAGCUGAAGCAGGUGGGAAGGAGGCUCUGUCCCCUGGCAGUGCAGGGAUUCCAGGAGUAAUGGUAGAGGAUGAAGGCUUGGUCUGGUGUUUUUGUGCUCUUUGCUUUCUUUUGUUUURCACCUGAAUUUGUGAAGUCUUGCCUGACUAUUUCAAAAUUUUAUCAAGCUAAGGAGUCCCUAUCUGGAGAGGAGGAGUAUGAGUAGGCAGAACCUACAUCAAGUUAGAGAACUGAUUAGUGAUGAGAACUGGUUAGUGAACUUAGUGAUUGCUGUUCAGUGGUGUUUCCUGUGAAAAGCCCAUCAGAGCCUUGCUCUGGAGUCUGCCAGAGCUGCAGUUCACUGGUUCUGCCAAACUCCUGGGGUGAAGUUCGAGCAGCGCUUCACUUUGCAAGGGCCUGUUGGCCCCCAGCCCAUGGGAGCUCAUGAGCAAGGCUACGGGAGAAUAGUGAAGGAUCUCUUCUGCCCCAGAGAGUUCAUAUAUCCUGAACACAGAAUGCUCUUUUCCACCUCAUCUAUUGUCCAUUUAUCAUACAGGAACAAUAAUUCAAGAGAAGCUCAUACCUGGAGCAUUAAACUGCAGUGACAAUUUCAUGUGUCUGUAAAGAACACUUUAAUGCUGAAGUGCAUCACAAGCCAGAGCUGCACAGAUGCUCAUCAGGAAACCAGCACAGCAUUGGGUCAACUCUUCUCUGAUAGAAAAGCCAUCCGAGAUGAAAACUACCUCAGACUCCUUUUAAAUGUGAUUUUAUAUGCACACAUGCAAAUGUUGCUUGUUUGAUUUACACAGGAGGGUUGGCUUAUGUUGUGUAAUUAGAACUAAUCCAGUUAGUUUGUAAGGGCAUAUGCAAUGGGAAUAUGUGACUUGCAAAGAUAAGGCUCCAUGGAAGACUUACAGAAGCCUUCCUUGAUGUUGACCAGAAUGCAUUUAGUUUGCUAAGAACCCACUGCCACAACAAAACAGAAAUUCAGGUGGAACAGGAUAUAAUUACUGCAGGUACUUUAAAACCACCAGAUUGCAUUUCUGAUGAUUACUAUGCAAUUAGGAAUAGAUCUGUUUGCUGGAAGGGCUAAGGCAUAAAACUUGUUUCUCAUGUCCCUCAUGUGACAUGGUAAGAAAAAMCCCUACUGGCUGUGGCAGAAAGACAAAGCAAUCCAUGUACCUGCACAAAAAUGUUGAUCAGCCUAAUGACAUUUAAAYCUUGUUCUUCCUGCUCUUCUUCCCUCCAUUUUAAGAUCUGGUUUUGGUUUUUUUGCAGGAGGGUAAGUCCCACCAAGGAGCCUGUUGCGUGAUACUGAAAAAUUGCAAGAGUGYUGGAGAUUAAAUAAGCAUAUUGCCUAAGGCUGAGCUGCUAAGAACAACCCUAUUUUUUUACUUAGCUAUUCUUAACAGGAGAACCAGGCAACUGCAARUGAGAGUUUCAGGGCAAGUGUAAGUUUCAAGACCAGGAGGCAUGUCCACUCCAAAGGUUAGAGAGUUAAACUGCCUCUUUUAACUCCAUGGAGAGAGAUUCCCUCUUUAUGCCCAGCCCCUUCAGUCAUUCCCAGGAGAGGUGGCAGGUGCAUACAGCUGCCUGCCCCAAAUACUCAGUGUUGCAAUCCUGUCAGUCUCUGCAGAAGUGUUGGUAAAUUUUGGUUCAAAAGGAAGGGAUCAAAUCUACUUAUGCUGACUGCUGCAUCCCUUAAAACAUGUAGUAUUAGUCCUGACAAGCAGGGACUUGGUUCUUGUGUUUUGAUUUUGGCUUGGCCAGAUCUCARCAGAGGUGUAGAAGAGGACUUCUCCAGGUGGGAAACUUCCUAAGACAAGUCUGUGGAAGUAGCAUAAUAUUCUGGUUACUAGAAUGCCUUCAAAAGUCCUGUUUCCUCCUUCCUGAGAGGGUAACCUUKCAAAAAGACAAUCAUUACAUGUUGCAGCCUCUGCUUUGACCAAGCAGUAAAUAUUCAGCUCUUCAGCUCCUUCCUAAACUCCCAUUUCCAAUGGCUUUGCUUGCAGCUCUCUGGCAAUUGCAGACUCAGAACUAAGUGCAGCAUUACUGUAGCCAUAGGAGAUUCCUACAGCUCAAACUACAUUUUACUCAUCUGAACCACCAUGGCUUCAGAUCUCACUUACUGUCAGAACCUCUCAACUCUACAGUUUGCUCCYAUUCUCUGAACACUAGCAGUCCAGACUUUUCCUUCAGCUUACCUUAGGCUUAUACUGGGUCAAAUAUAAUUAGAUCUCUACUUGAAUUGUCUAAAUACAAUCUGUGGCUUUCUUCUUCCACUAUUGCCCAGGUAAAUAUCUCUCUCUAUCCUCUUCAUUAGGACAUGGAAGGCAGAGUAGAAAUGUGAGCAUUCUUGUAGAUAUUUCUGAUUAAUCAUUAACUCUAAUCAUGGUCACAUAAACAUCUGAAACCUCCUAAACGCUUAUAUCAAAUGCCUUACUAAAAGCCAGUUGAUCUGUCUUUACAAUCUUCUCAAAYUAUUUGUAACUGUCAACAAAUGAAGUACCUUUGUUCACUGAGGUAUGUUAUUUCCUCAGUCUGCUAGCACAUCCCUAGUGCUCUGCCACUUAUCUGAGUGAUAUCACUUGCCAGAACUGUAGCAAGUCCAUUAUCUGAUUCCCUUACCGACCAGUACCGCAAAUUAUCUGGACUCCCACUAUGCUGCAGUAAGCUCACAUUUCACAAAUAUUUUCUUACUUGUUUUCAUCACUUACUGCAUUACAUCCUCAUUGAUUUUCAACCRUCCCUCAUUUCAAGUACUUUUUAAAUAGAUUUCCACCAUUUCAGAGUUAUCAAUCUCAAUUCARUGUUCCUGUAUUAACAGGCUUUUCAUAUGCCUUUCCCUCCCUGGGCACAUUUAUGAAAGCUCUUCUUUCCUUAGCCUUCUGGUCAUUGCURAUUUAUUGUUGUGGAUGCCCUUAGCUUGUUCUCUGAGGCUUCAKUCUGGUCAGCUGAUUGUUUGCAGUUCAUCUUCCCUCAUUCAGUGUAAGGCUACCACGCCACUUGCUGCUGCAUGCUGUGAAACUGCAGAGCACGUGGCUACUGUAAUGUUUAAUUUUUAAGACCUAACUAAUGCUUUCUGAAGUUCAUGGGCUUUUUUUCCUUCUCAGCUGCUAAAUSACAUUUUGAGAUCUGCCAGUGCUUCUAGUAUGGGAGGAAAAGGGGCAGAGAAAAUGUAAUUUGUUAGAUGCUGGGUUGCUUGCUCAGCUGGGGCAGUGGACAGUUUUUCUCCCGUAUACAGUCAGCCUCAAGUGCUGCUGUCUGGGGAUUAAUCCAUGAUCUCUUGAAAACCAAAACUUCAUUCUUCAAAUCAGUUGUUUGUACCACACGGCAGRAAUUUCAGUGACUCAUAAAUCCUGUUAUUUCAAAGUAAGGGAAGUACUYGAAAAUAUCACGUGGAGCUUGAAUGUUCCAGCCUAUUUCACAGACCAAGAUUUUCUGCUAAUCGGGACAUUACACAUCUUUGCUUGGGCAUUCACCUCAUAUUUCUUGCUCUAAAUAAAGCUAUAGUAAGUGACAUCAGUGAGUUUGCUGCCACCCUAUGUAUGUUUUUAUAUGCCAAACCACAAUAUUAUGACUUUCUGGAGGGCAGCCAUAUACCAAACAAACAAACAGUUGCAAAAAGGAGAAGUUAAAAAAACGAAAGAAUUGUAGCUAAUAGAAGGUAUUAUUUAGCCUUCUUYGUGCUUGCAACCAACUUUGAUAUCAAGUAUACCAAAAGCAGAAAAGGACAAAGAAAAAAAAAGAAAUAYAGAGCAAAUAUUGGGAUAGAUUGCUUUGGUCUAACGAAUUGUUGCCUAUUUUCUGCAGUUUAGUGAGCCCCCUAGAGUAAUACUAUUCCCUUCUCUUCUAUUCUAUUCUUAUCCCUACUUCUGCAUUCAAACACACAACUUGCAUUUUGCUAGUUAAGUCAUAUCACACUGCUCCCUGCCACCUUUUCAGAUGCUCAGCCCAUUUGUGAAAACACCAAAUCUUAGUAUCUCUGCAAUUUAAAAAAAAUCUUUUAAGGGUCAGAAGAUGAUCGAAAAAAAAUGCAUUUGAUCAAAUUUUUUGUUUCUUGCCAUCUGAAUUAGGAAUACUUUACUGAAUUUGUUUAAGAGCAAGGUGACCCAACACUUAAAAAUUCCCUUCUUCCUCUAGUCUCCCUAGGUUAGAAGGAUGUUUGAGAACAUAUAGCAAAUAUUUUUUGGGUAUGUACAGGAGAAUAUUCCAACUUUUUAUGGCACUACAAUUUUCCUUUUUUUUUUAAGCAACAGUCUGCCGAGAUAUGUAACACCUGCAAGUUUCUGCUACAUCUACACUGAGCACACACAUCGAGGAACUUGGAUUUCCAUGUUUCCAUGUUCCAUGUCCCAGACUAUCACUCUAGAUGUUGCUCCAAUUAUUCCCACUGUUUUAGCAAGCCUGAUGGACCUGUGGUUGGAUACACACUAGAGAAGUUUUACGUAGGACCACGAGGUCCAUAGUGAGCCUACAGGUAUUAAGGAAACAAUUGACUUCAUUAUGUGUAUCCUGGAGUAAACUUUUGCUUUCCUCUUAAAGAUAAGGUUUGGCAAUAUUAAACCACUAAGGAGAGGGCCUGGUCAAGAGCAAACGCUGCUCCUCAUGCUCCUUCCCUGAGUCUAGGACAUCCUCUGCAAGAUUGCUGACUCCUGCUUUAGAGUGUCUUGGCAACAAAAUUGAUACUGUAACAUCAUGACUUCAUAAAAGGUAAUAUCCACACCCAUCGAGUUUUGAGAAACUCACAACAAAGCGCCAUCGGUUCACAGAAAGGCAGUUUUGCAAUUGCUUGCAAAGUUUCACCUAAGAGGUAAAACAGAACCACAAUCUCCUUCUUCAGGAUGAAUGCUUUCAGAGCUGCCCUCUCCCAACUGUGUGACAUUCCUGUAGGCUGGGUGACCUCAGGCAAAACUACUAAAACCAGCUCAAUUGUGUUAACAG
Molecule: long non-coding RNA, 4992 nt
Organism: Malurus melanocephalus (red-backed fairy wren)
Lineage: Eukaryota; Metazoa; Chordata; Aves; Passeriformes; Maluridae
Exons: 3
Source: RefSeq, a predicted model, not a curated record